Molecule: long non-coding RNA, 1994 nt
Organism: Amphiprion ocellaris (clown anemonefish)
Lineage: Eukaryota; Metazoa; Chordata; Actinopteri; Pomacentridae
Exons: 2
Source: RefSeq, a predicted model, not a curated record
CGGCCAGGAAAUACCCUCAGCAUUCCUUGGUUGUUGUGUCGUUCCAAGAUCGUUGGCUGCUCAUUGCUUCGGACAUGUUCCUGCUGUGGCAAACUCGGUUCAGACUGAAUGUUUAACAACAGUUGGCUUCGACCCUACUGUCCGGAACUGAGGGCACCGUCGUCAGAUUCAUUGGUCAGGUUUCUGGUAAGGAGUGGAUUUUUUGGACAGUUCAGCAUCCAGCAGAACACCCAUCGGAGGAUUCGUCCAUCAGGAGACCAAGAUUCCAGUUAACUGCAUGGCGAGCCAACCCGUGGAAAGAUUGAGAGACCAAGAGAAGGAGGAUAGCUUCUGCAGAAGAAUUACUGCGCUCAUGGUGCGGUAGGACAGAAAAGACACACUCAUACACUUGGACUGGGCCCCAGCGACCGAUCCUCUGACUAACACCAAAAAGACUGGACUCAGACAUUUCUAUUUUUUUUGUCAUUUGUGCGCACUUUAUUAUUUUUUAUUGUAUUGUAAUGUUGUUGUUGUGCAGCUAAUCUGCACUAAUUAUACUUAUUACACAUAUUUUGGCAAAUCCAUUCUGUUUGUGUCUCCUUACUGACGCUCAGACCUCAGGCUCCAAGCGCCCUAGUCUCUGAUGCUGGUCCAAAUCUAAUAUAUUUACGGUUUUGAUGUAACAAAGUUGUCACACAAACAACAAAAACAAGACAAAAUAUUAGACAAUUGACAAAAAAUGACAAAAGUGAGAAUCAAAACGACAAAGUAGACAACACAGGCGAAACAAAAACAAUGAUACACAAAACAACGAAUAAAGCAAAACACAAAAUGACAAAAAUGAGACAAAAAUCACAAGUGAGACAAAAAUGAGACACAAAACGACAACAACGAGGCACAAAACAAAAACGAGACACGAAAUGACAAAAAAAUUUGACAAACGACACAAAACAAAACAAAAAAGGGACAAAGAACUAAACAAAAAAGCUACAGAGCAACAAAAUAAAUGGACAAACGACACAGAAAACACAACUGAGACAAAAGGGAAACACAAAACGCCAAAAAACGAGAAACAAAAUGACAAAAACUUUAGGCAAAUGAUGAAAGUCAAACAAAAAAGACAAAAGACACCAAAAAUGAGACCGCAUGUUUGACACCCCUGGUCUAGCAGACACAUUUAAUCCUAAAUUCAGUCUCAAAAAAUUACACACAAAACAACGAAUAAAGCAAAACACAAAAUAAUAAAAAACAAGUCAAGGAACACAGGCGAGACAAAAAGGAAACACAAAGUGACAAAAACGAGAAACAAAAUGACAAAAGUCAGACAAAAAAGACAAAAAACAACAAAAAUGAGGCAAAAUAUCACAAAAAAAGAAAUACAAAAUGACUAAAGAACAAUGAACAAUCUAGUAUUUUACUUUAUAGUCCAAACAACUUGUCAUGGUCUAGAAAUUAUUUUAAGUUUAUAGUUUUACUAAUUUACAAUCUGCAGUUAAUGUCUUCUCUGGAAUUUUUACACUUUGAGGACCGGAUCGGACCCUCUGGGGGACCACUUUUGGCCCGCAGGUCAUAUGUUGGACACCCCUGUUGUAGCGUGUAGCAUGAUGCCGCUAGCUAACUGGUAGCUCAGCUUUAGUUACUUUAAUAAACGUCCAUCGUCUUCAGAUUCAGAAGAAGAUUCAGAAAGUGGAUGUUCAGGAAUCAAACAGUAAAAAACAGAACAUUUGAUCCAUCAGGAGAUUAAACCCUGUAAAACCUUGAAAACCUUUAAAACCCGUCAGUCUGCUGCUACAGGAUCUUUAUUUCCUCUGUUCGUUCAGUUUGUGGAUUCAUCUGACUGACAGAUAAUACAUGACUCUAAAUAAUACUUCAGCUGUUAUGCUGGGUUUGGACAAAACAAUGCUGCUUCCUUCAACCAGUACAAGCUUUAAGGCUGCUGGAUGUUUAUCAGUUAUUAGUUCAUCUUCAGCCUUUUAUAUGAGCAAAAAAUACCUGAAUAAAUGAAAUGUUGUUUC